CCUACGGGUGACAGCAGUCGAGAAUCAUUCACAAUGGGGGAAACCCUGAUGGUGCGACGCCGCGUGGGGGAAUGAAGGUCUUCGGAUUGUAAACCCCUGUCAUGUGGGAGCAAAUUAAAAAGAUAGUACCACAAGAGGAAGAGACGGCUAACUCUGUGCCAGCAGCCGCGGUAAUACAGAGGUCUCAAGCGUUGUUCGGAAUCACUGGGCGUAAAGCGUGCGUAGGCUGUUUCGUAAGUCGUGUGUGAAAGGCGCGGGCUCAACCCGCGGACGGCACAUGAUACUGCGAGACUAGAGUAAGGGAGGGGGAACCGGAAUGCUCGGUGUAGCAGUGAAAUGCGUAGAUAUCGAGAGGAACACUCGUGGCGAAGGCGGGUUCCUGGACAUUAACUGACGCUGAGGCACGAAGGCCAGGGGAGCGAAAGGGAUUAGAUACCCUGGUAGUC
RNAcentral lists this ribosomal RNA (446 nucleotides) under uncultured bacterium. RNAcentral describes it as "partial 16S ribosomal RNA". It matches the Rfam family "Bacterial small subunit ribosomal RNA", at positions 338 to 795 of the family's 1533-position model. The record is from RNAcentral.